Molecule: non-coding RNA, 81 nt
Organism: Xyrichtys novacula (pearly razorfish)
Lineage: Eukaryota; Metazoa; Chordata; Actinopteri; Labriformes; Labridae
Source: the annotation of a GenBank genome assembly
GAACAGUAAAGGCUGAGUAUAGGUGUAGAUUUACGUCAGAAAUAGACGUAAAUCUACACCUAUACUCAGCCUUUACUGUUC